GCCCGGCUAGCUCAAUAGGUAGAGCAUCAGACUCUUAAUCUGGGGGUUGGGGGUUCGAGUCCCGCGUUGGGUG
RNAcentral lists this transfer RNA (73 nucleotides) under Enterospora canceri. It matches the Rfam family "tRNA". From Rfam's summary of the family: Transfer RNA (tRNA) molecules are approximately 80 nucleotides in length. Their secondary structure includes four short double-helical elements and three loops (D, anti-codon, and T loops). The record is from Rfam by way of RNAcentral. Lineage: Eukaryota; Fungi; Microsporidia; Enterocytozoonidae.